CCAAUAGCGUAUAUUAAAGUUGUUGCAGUUAAAAAGCUCGUAGUUGAAUUUCGGGAUCAAUAUGUCGGUCGUGCCUUCGGUACGUACUGGCAUCAUUGGUUUCUCCCUUCUGACAAACCAUGAUGUCAUUAAUUUGGUGUUAUGGGGAGUUAGGACUGUUACUUUGAAAAAAUUAGAGUGUUUAAAGCAGGCAUUAGCUUGAAUACAUUAGCAUGGAAUAAUGAAAUAGGACGUUUGACCCUAUUUUGUUGGUUUCUAGGAUCGACGUAAUGAUUAAUAGGGAUAGUUGGGGGGAUUAGUAUUCAAUUGUCAGAGGUGAAAUUCUUGGAUUUAUUGAAGACUAACUACUGCGAAAGCAUUUGCCAAGGAUGUUUUCAUUAAUCAAGAACGAAAGUUAGGGGAUCGAAGACGAUCAGAUACCGUCGUAGUCUUAACCAUAAACUAUGCCGACUAGGGAUCGGAUGAUGUUAAUUUUUUAAUGACUCAUUCGGCGCCUUACG
This 500-nucleotide ribosomal RNA is filed under the name uncultured Glomus. RNAcentral's name for it is "SSU rRNA". It matches the Rfam family "Eukaryotic small subunit ribosomal RNA", at positions 591 to 1092 of the family's 1831-position model. The record is from RNAcentral. Lineage: Eukaryota; Fungi; Glomeromycota; Glomeromycetes; Glomerales; Glomeraceae.